Long non-coding RNA from Micropterus dolomieu (smallmouth bass), 529 nucleotides. RefSeq lists it as uncharacterized. NCBI's taxonomy places the organism in Eukaryota, Metazoa, Chordata, Actinopteri, Centrarchiformes, Centrarchidae. The transcript is spliced from 3 exons. The record is from RefSeq and is a predicted model, not a curated record.
UGAUUUCUAAAGACUGCUGUCCUGACUACAACUCAACCUGCACACAAUCUUUUACUACUGCACCGAUAAGCAAACCCAGCCCAACAAGCAGCAGUACUACAUCUACACUAGCAAAUAACAUCACAGCUUCCUCAUCCACAGUCUCCUCAGCAACAGCACCCAGUACAACAUCUGCACUACUGAAUGAGAGCACAACCUCAGCCUCCAUAGUGUCCACCACUACAGCAACCGACCAAAGAAGCAGCAAUACUACCUCUACGCUAGCAGAUAUAAUAACAACUUCAGCAUCCACAGUCUCUCCAACAACACCAUCCAGUACAACAAACAUCAGUACUACCUCCAUACUUGCAAAUAUCAGCGCAACCUCAACAAUCUCUGCUCCCACAGCAACCAGCCAAAAAAGCAGCAGUACUACAUCUGCACCACUAGAUGGCCUCAGAAGUCCAACAUCCACAGUCUCCACAGCUACAGUUAUUAGUUGGAGGAGCAGCCACUCUGUACGGGAUAUACCGGAGACGCCGAAGGGGGA